AGAUUGAACGCUGGCGGCAUGCUUUACACAUGCAAGUCGAACGGUAACAGGCCGCAAGGUGCUGACGAGUGGCGAACGGGUGAGUAAUGUAUCGGAACGUGCCCAGUCGUGGGGGAUAACGCAGCGAAAGCUGCGCUAAUACCGCAUACGAUCUAUGGAUGAAAGCGGGGGACCGUAAGGCCUCGCGCGAUUGGAGCGCCGAUAUCAGAUUAGGUAGUUGG
Molecule: ribosomal RNA, 221 nt
Filed under: uncultured soil bacterium
Lineage: Bacteria
Description: partial 16S ribosomal RNA
Rfam family: Bacterial small subunit ribosomal RNA
Source: RNAcentral